RNAcentral lists this ribosomal RNA (1551 nucleotides) under Staphylococcus aureus. RNAcentral's name for it is "partial 23S ribosomal RNA". It matches the Rfam family "Bacterial large subunit ribosomal RNA", at positions 492 to 2047 of the family's 2925-position model. The record is from RNAcentral. Lineage: Bacteria; Bacillati; Bacillota; Bacilli; Caryophanales; Staphylococcaceae.
GAACCAGUACCGUGAGGGAAAGGUGAAAAGCACCCCGGAAGGGGAGUGAAAUAGAACCUGAAACCGUGUGCUUACAAGUAGUCAGAGCCCGUUAAUGGGUGAUGGCGUGCCUUUUGUAGAAUGAACCGGCGAGUUACGAUUUGAUGCAAGGUUAAGCAGUAAAUGUGGAGCCGUAGCGAAAGCGAGUCUGAAUAGGGCGUUUAGUAUUUGGUCGUAGACCCGAAACCAGGUGAUCUACCCUUGGUCAGGUUGAAGUUCAGGUAACACUGAAUGGAGGACCGAACCGACUUACGUUGAAAAGUGAGCGGAUGAACUGAGGGUAGCGGAGAAAUUCCAAUCGAACCUGGAGAUAGCUGGUUCUCUCCGAAAUAGCUUUAGGGCUAGCCUCAAGUGAUGAUUAUUGGAGGUAGAGCACUGUUUGGACGAGGGGCCCCUCUCGGGUUACCGAAUUCAGACAAACUCCGAAUGCCAAUUAAUUUAACUUGGGAGUCAGAACAUGGGUGAUAAGGUCCGUGUUCGAAAGGGAAACAGCCCAGACCACCAGCUAAGGUCCCAAAAUAUAUGUUAAGUGGAAAAGGAUGUGGCGUUGCCCAGACAACUAGGAUGUUGGCUUAGAAGCAGCCAUCAUUUAAAGAGUGCGUAAUAGCUCACUAGUCGAGUGACACUGCGCCGAAAAUGUACCGGGGCUAAACAUAUUACCGAAGCUGUGGAUUGUCCUUUGGACAAUGGUAGGAGAGCGUUCUAAGGGCGUUGAAGCAUGAUCGUAAGGACAUGUGGAGCGCUUAGAAGUGAGAAUGCCGGUGUGAGUAGCGAAAGACGGGUGAGAAUCCCGUCCACCGAUUGACUAAGGUUUCCAGAGGAAGGCUCGUCCGCUCUGGGUUAGUCGGGUCCUAAGCUGAGGCCGACAGGCGUAGGCGAUGGAUAACAGGUUGAUAUUCCUGUACCACCUAUAAUCGUUUUAAUCGAUGGGGGGACGCAGUAGGAUAGGCGAAGCGUGCGAUUGGAUUGCACGUCUAAGCAGUAAGGCUGAGUAUUAGGCAAAUCCGGUACUCAUUAAGGCUGAGCUGUGAUGGGGAGAAGACAUUGUGUCUUCGAGUCGUUGAUUUCACACUGCCGAGAAAAGCCUCUAGAUAGAAAAUAGGUGCCCGUACCGCAAACCGACACAGGUAGUCAAGAUGAGAAUUCUAAGGUGAGCGAGCGAACUCUCGUUAAGGAACUCGGCAAAAUGACCCCGUAACUUCGGGAGAAGGGGUGCUCUUUAGGGUUAACGCCCAGAAGAGCCGCAGUGAAUAGGCCCAAGCGACUGUUUAUCAAAAACACAGGUCUCUGCUAAACCGUAAGGUGAUGUAUAGGGGCUGACGCCUGCCCGGUGCUGGAAGGUUAAGAGGAGUGGUUAGCUUCUGCGAAGCUACGAAUCGAAGCCCCAGUAAACGGCGGCCGUAACUAUAACGGUCCUAAGGUAGCGAAAUUCCUUGUCGGGUAAGUUCCGACCCGCACGAAAGGCGUAACGAUUUGGGCACUGUCUCAACGAGAGACUCGGUGAAAUCAUAG